UUUCACGAGUGAGUGAGAGCUCCAGGUUCGAACCUGUAAUAAAGAUCCUUGCUGCUUGGCUUUGACUCUGGACUCUGGUGGUCUUCUCCGGGGAAUAAACGGUCUGGGCAUAACAAUGGUCACCGUCAACCUAGGCCUAUGUGGCUUCCACUAAACCCAGUUAGCACAAAUUGCUCCAUGAGCUACGGGCUGCAGAGGAACAGAAUGCAAAGAACAGCUCAUGAUAUUCACAAAUAGAUUAUCACUAAUCAUCUUUAAAGUACAGCAGUGUGUUGACAGCUCCAGCUGAAGAGCUAAAGACAAACAGCAUCAGAAGAAACAAAGUCACCUAAAAUACUUAUGAGACUAAGCAUAGCCUCUGGUGGAAUUGUCUUGCAGUGAAUACAGAUCUAGUGACAUGCUAUUGACUACGGUUUCCAGCUGAAUAUCUUGGGAGGAUUUGGUUGUUUGGACUUCACCAGCUGUUACAAUAAAGGACAUCUGACCCGGCUAUGAUUCCUGGACACCGGACACUGUAUUCCUCGACACAGAUUACAUUCCUGAACAUUGGAUUCACCUAUCAGCUUCUGUUUCCCAUACUUUUACAGUUAUGCUAAAAGUGGGCAGUGCAAUUAAAUCUCUUAAUGUCUGAGUAAAGCACAAUUUACACAUGUAGAAAUUUCCAAUAAAGAUGACUAUUUUGGUUAAAAAUCCUUUUGCAGAUGGUCUCAGUAGCCCAAGUUGUAUCUCAUCUACCCAAAUUGUAUCUCAUCUACCAUCUGCGACAAAUCCAAGUUAAAAUCUCUGUUUGUACUCUUUCCCUCUCUCACUGGCAGACUGAUAAGUAUCUCUAUUAGGUACAAAAUAUUCUGAUGUCACCUAAUAACAAACCCGAAGGUCUGUGAUGCAGCAGGUAUCCCUGGGAACCAGUUCUACUGGAACUGUGAUUCAUCAGACAGUAGCCCCAAGGUUGGGAUGGGAUAGGACCUUGGAAAAAUAAGAUCCUCAGAGGACAAAUACAAAAGUCUUGAACUUUGGCCCGUAUACCAUGCUAGAAGGUGGUGAUUCUAAAAGAUUCCUGUCGUUGGAUUGUGCCCACGUGUAUCUCAUCAGUGCAGAGGGCAUCUCAACAUCAGCUUCCUGCCUAAAUAUGCAAUACAGUGCAUGAAAUUCAGUGCACUCUAAUUUCUACUAUAAUACUCUCAUGUCUAUCAGCACCUGGGGUCUUCUCUGUAAUACUCUGGGUGGUGGGCUGUGUGAAUUUUCUGUUCCAAUGGCCAAUAGCUACUAAAUAACUAAAAGAUACAUUUGAUUUUAUAUUAGCUUUAUAUUGUUUUAAUUCCCUAUACCAUUUAUCAUUGAAAGCUAGAUUAAGAAAAAAAUUACUACCAUAUGAUAAUGACAAAAGAAGAUCAUUUUCAAAGGCAUCAUGUGUAGGAUUAUCGCAAUAGAGGCUGAUUUAUCUUUUACAUGUGAACAUUUACCCCUGAAAUGUUGUUUGCUCGCUCCCCAGAGGACUGAAACAAUAGAACACGAGACCAACAAAUAAUGACAGCAAUUAGUAUAAUCAUUAAGAGAAAAUACUGAUAAGUUAAAUACUCCCCUUGUAAACAAGGUAAAUCACUUUAUAACUUUCAGUGGCUUUAAACUCAUACUUUAGGAAUUAAUUCCCAUGAAAUUCCUCUUGUCCUGUCAACAUUUUAAUUAUAAUGGGAUAAUUUGUGCAUGGAACCUGAUGUUAUUCAGGUUGAGUGAAUGUCUUCCAUGACCACUCAAGGUGUGGUCCACAGACUGUGGCAUUGGCAUUGCCGGGGAUCAUGGUAAAAUUGCAGACUACCAUGACUCACUCAAGACCAGCUGAAUCCAAAUUUGCUUUAGAAUGAGAUCCCAAGGCUAGCAUUCGAGUCUGAGAAGCACUGUUCUGUGAUGUCCAGGUAGCCACAGUUUUAGCUAAUGUAAGAACUGAUGGCAUUUUAAAUUUUCCUGGAUUCUGGAAAAGUGGUUUCUGCUUUUGCCUUUUAGGCAUUUCCUUUGGAUUAUAAAGGCAGUAGGAUAAGUGAAAGGUUAGAAGAAAAUAAAAAAGAAAAAAAAAAAAGAGAAAACUCUGGUCACUAAUUGACGAGGCAGAAAAAAGAGAACACAGCAUAUUCCUGAAAUAUCUUGCGUUACUGUAAUUAACACCCAGUGUACGAGGCUUCCUUUGCAGAUUUAAUGAUUGUUACCUGCACCCACAUUUUCUCCACAUUCUAGCAAUGCUUGGUAAUGACACCUCCCUCUUCUGUACACUCACUCUUGUGGUUGUGGCAACUAGCUCGCUCCUUGGAUACUCAGUACUGACAAAGGCUCUCUUGAGAAGGUUAAAAAACAUACAGUUUUUCUAUUUUGAAAAUUGAAUGGUACAAAGUCUACUUCUUUUGAUAAAGGUAAGGGAGAUCAAGCAGUUUUUUGAAACCAAGCAAUGAAUUCAUUUUAGCGAUUCACAGUUGUUCUGGAAAUGCAACAUUUGAAAAGCUGUCCUGUCUCAUUGAGGCAGAUUAGUUAACUCAGAGUUCAAGGGUCAUGAUAGAUAUUCAUGGCAUUCCUCUCAUCUGUUGUGUGCUGUCCUGAGACUUGCUGACUCAAAGUGUGGUCCCUGACCAGUAGCAUUGGCCUUCCCUGGGUACCUGAUAGAAAUGCAGCGUUUUGCUCCUACCCUGGGCCUAUAAGAAUCUGGGUUGUGGCUGGGCGCAGUGGCUCAUGCCUGUAAUCCCAGUACGUUGGGAGGCUGAGGCGGGUGGAUUACCAGGUCAAGAG
Piliocolobus tephrosceles (Ugandan red Colobus) is the source of this 2772-nucleotide long non-coding RNA. RefSeq lists it as uncharacterized. The transcript is spliced from 5 exons. Lineage: Eukaryota; Metazoa; Chordata; Mammalia; Primates; Cercopithecidae. The record is from RefSeq and is a predicted model, not a curated record.